UAUUCUAUAGGACAACCCCCAAUCCAUGUUAAAAUAAAAAAAUACACCAAUUAAAAACCAAAAACAAAACUGUCCUAAAAUAUCAUAACAUAACCCUAUACUCCCUCUAACAUGUAAAAACGGACAAACAAUCAACACAACAAUAGAUAUCCUUAAACUAACCACUUCCCCUAAUUUAUUAGAAAUUGAGCGCAAAAUAGCGUAAGCAAACAAAAAAUAUCAUUCAGGUUUAAUAUGAAUAGGAGUAACCAAAGGAUUUGCAGGAAUAAAAUUCUCAGCAUCUCCCAACAUAUUAGGAAACAAUAAACUCAACUCAACUAAUGCAAAUAAUAUUACAAGAAACCCUAAAAUAUCUUUAUAUCUAUGAUAAUGAUGAAAAGGAAUUUUAUCUAAAUCUCUAUUUAAUCCCAGCGGAUUAUUUGAACCCCCUUCAUGCAAAAAUAAAAAAUGUAAAAUAACCAACCCCACAAUAAUAAAAGGAAAUAAAAAAUGAAAACAAAAAAACCGACUCAAAGUAGCAUUUUCAACAGAAAAUCCUCCUCAAAUUCAGUAUACCAACACCUCCCCAAUAUAAGGAACAACAGAAACUAAAUUAGUAAUUACCGUAGCCCCCCAAAAUGAUAUCUGACCUCAAGGUAAAACAUACCCUACAAAUCCAGUUAACAUAACCAAAAUAUAUAACACUACCCCAAUAUUUCAAGUAUAAAUACUUAUAUAGGAACCAUAAUAUAAACCACGACCAAUAUGCAUAUAUAAACAAAUAAAAGAAAAAAAAGAUGCUACAUAGGUGUAGGAGUGGCUGUGUGGUAAGUAGCAUGCUUACCAGCCACAUGGUUCCGGGUUCAGUCCCACUGCGUGGCACCUUGGGCAAGUGCCUUCUACUAUAGCCUCAGACCAACCAAAGCCUUGUGAGUGGAUUUGGUAGACGGAAACUGAAAGAAGCCCGUCGUAUAUAUGUAUAUAUAUAUAAAUAUAUAUAUAUAUAAAUAUAUAUAUAUAUAUAUAUAUAUGUAUGUGUAUAUGUUUGUCCCCCCAACAUCGCUUGACAACCGAUGCUGAUGUGUUUACGUCCCUGUGACUUAGCGGUUCGGCAAAACAGACCGAUAGAAUAAGUACUAGGCUUACAAAGAAUAAGUCCUGGGGUCGAUUUCCUCGACUAAAGGCGGUGCUCCAGCAUGGCCACAGUCACAUGACUGAAACAAGUAAAAAAAAAAAAAAUUAGCAUGAAUAUAACGAAAUACCCACCCAUAAUUAACAGAUUCAAAAGAAUACUCAAUACAUGAUGUAUAAUGUAUCGCAAGAAAAAUACCUCUUAUUAACUGAAUAAUCAAACACAA
RNAcentral lists this long non-coding RNA (1337 nucleotides) under Octopus vulgaris (common octopus). The record is from RNAcentral. Lineage: Eukaryota; Metazoa; Mollusca; Cephalopoda; Octopoda; Octopodidae.